AUACGUAGGGGACAAGCGUUAUCCGGAUUUACUGGGUGUAAAGGGAGCGUAGGCGGCCAGCCAAGUCAGAAGUGAAAUCCCACGGCUCAACUGUGGGCGUGCUUUUGAAACUGGAGGGCUUGAGUACUGGAGGGGCAAGCGGAAUUCCUGGGGUAGCGGUGGAAUGCAUAGAUAUCAGGAAGAACACCGGAGGCGAAGGCGGCUUGCUGGACAGAGACUGACGCUGAGGCUCGAAGGCGUGGGGAGCAAACAGGAUUAGAUACCCUGGUAGUCCACGCGGUAAACGAUGAAUGCUAGGUAUUGGGCUCCAUAGGGGUUCGGUGCCGCAGUUAACGCAAUAAGCAUUCCACCUGGGGAGUACGUUCGCAAGAAUGAAACUCAAAUGAAUUGACGGGG
This 396-nucleotide ribosomal RNA is filed under the name uncultured bacterium. RNAcentral's name for it is "partial 16S ribosomal RNA". It matches the Rfam family "Bacterial small subunit ribosomal RNA", at positions 523 to 918 of the family's 1533-position model. The record is from RNAcentral.